GGCCUGCUGGUGAAGCGGUAUCAUUUCCCUAUAUUAUCAAGCAGGUGGAUAUUGCUUGUUGGGAAGUUCCUUGUUCGAAGCAAGGUCAGGCCG
This is a non-coding RNA of Mycena latifolia, 93 nucleotides long. The record is from the annotation of a GenBank genome assembly. NCBI's taxonomy places the organism in Eukaryota, Fungi, Basidiomycota, Agaricomycetes, Agaricales, Mycenaceae.